Long non-coding RNA from Asparagus officinalis (garden asparagus), 700 nucleotides. RefSeq lists it as uncharacterized. The transcript is spliced from 2 exons. The record is from RefSeq and is a predicted model, not a curated record. Lineage: Eukaryota; Viridiplantae; Streptophyta; Magnoliopsida; Asparagales; Asparagaceae.
UCGACGCACCCCCACGAAACCGAAGAAGAACCAACAGUCAAUAAAAUUAACAGAGACGUAAGCCCAAAACUUUGAGAGAAAAAAAAAACCCCAAUAAAAUCAACAAGAAGCAGCUAGCACUCUCUCCCCAGCUACAAAACAAUUCAGCUAGAAUCAUUCAUGGCCAUGGCCAUGGCAUCGUCUUCCUCCCCUCAUCACGGCUUUCUCACCGGAAGCAGUCCUCUCUUCCCUCUUAUUAACAAGAAUCAAUCGACGUCGAAGCCUCACCGAGGUUUUACAGUUCCUUACUGCCGUUCAUCCAUGGAUAAAAAAGAACCAGAGCCAAACAAUACAAAUUUGUCGGAACGAUCUUAUGAACCAUCUGACAUAAGAGUUUCACGUCGAUUAAUAGAAUAUUUUGGGAUCCCAACUCGUUGAUGAUCCGUCAAUGUGAGCCCGACCAGUGAUGACUAUGGUUUAUAUCAGCCUGCAGGUAAUUUGAAGGGGGAGCAAAACUGUUGAAAAGACUUCAUGCGCGCCACAUGAUUUAUUGUUAACGUAUUUUCUAAUGGUCAGCUUAAUUAGUGUACCGUUUUGAACUAUUUAAUUAAAUUUUGGCCUUGUAGAAAGAAAGAAACCCGAUGUUAUAAUAUAUAUCCAUCUCAGCUGUUUGUAAUCUUCAUUGAUUUAUUAGUGGAAUUAUGAACUGGUUAUUAUACUC